RNAcentral lists this ribosomal RNA (730 nucleotides) under uncultured bacterium. Its description in RNAcentral is "bacterial SSU rRNA". It matches the Rfam family "Bacterial small subunit ribosomal RNA", at positions 771 to 1501 of the family's 1533-position model. The record is from RNAcentral.
AACAGGAUUAGAUACCCUGGUAGUCCACGCUGUAAACGAUGUCGACUCGGAGGUUGCUCCCUUGAGGAGUGGCUUCCGGAGCUAACGCGUUAAGUCGACCGCCUGGGGAGUACGGCCGCAAGGUUAAAACUCAAAUGAAUUGACGGGGGCCCGCACAAGCGGUGGAGCAUGUGGUUUAAUUCGAUGCAACGCGAAGAACCUUACCUACUCUUGACAUCCAGAGAACUUAGCAGAGAUGCUUUGGUGCCUUCGGGAACUCUGAGACAGGUGCUGCAUGGCUGUCGUCAGCUCGUGUUGUGAAAUGUUGGGUUAAGUCCCGCAACGAGCGCAACCCUUAUCCUUUGUUGCCAGCGGUCCGGCCGGGAACUCAAAGGAGACUGCCAGUGAUAAACUGGAGGAAGGUGGGGAUGACGUCAAGUCAUCAUGGCCCUUACGAGUAGGGCUACACACGUGCUACAAUGGCAUAUACAAAGAGAAGCGACCUCGCGAGAGCAAGCGGACCUCAUAAAGUAUGUCGUAGUCCGGAUUGGAGUCUGCAACUCGACUCCAUGAAGUCGGAAUCGCUAGUAAUCGUGGAUCAGAAUGCCACGGUGAAUACGUUCCCGGGCCUUGUACACACCGCCCGUCACACCAUGGGAGUGGGUUGCAAAAGAAGUAGGUAGCUUAACCUUCGGGAGGGCGCUUACCACUUUGUGAUUCAUGACUGGGGUGAAGUCGUAACAAGGUAACC